Long non-coding RNA from Drosophila kikkawai, 256 nucleotides. RefSeq lists it as uncharacterized. NCBI's taxonomy places the organism in Eukaryota, Metazoa, Arthropoda, Insecta, Diptera, Drosophilidae. The record is from RefSeq and is a predicted model, not a curated record.
GUCGUCCACGGACAUCAUGGCACCUGCAAAGCCAAUCGAUAAUGAUUAAUCAUUGCUGACAUUUAUGGCGAUUCCCGCUAUUGAUUAUUUUUUAAAGUGCGCAUUUUCUUGACGACCGUAAAGGGUGCCUUGUGUCGAGAUAAUGUUUAUCUCCGGACUGAAGUCCAUCGUCGAUGAUCACUCACCCGCAUUGUCAAAUUCCCCGCAAUAGUUAGGCGCCGAGAAGAGCGUGACCAGCUGACGCUUGGCAAAGAAU